This 1596-nucleotide ribosomal RNA is filed under the name Triticum aestivum (bread wheat). Its description in RNAcentral is "partial small subunit ribosomal RNA". Lineage: Eukaryota; Viridiplantae; Streptophyta; Magnoliopsida; Poales; Poaceae. The record is from RNAcentral.
AUGGCGUCCCCGGCGCGGCCAGCCUCCGUCUCCGGCCCCUUCGGCCUGUCCCCCGACCUCGCCCGCUGCUCCUUCGACCACACGCUCCGCCGAGAGGAUUUUCAGGACAACAGAUUAUUGAGGUCAUUGGUUAGCAUGCGUGAACAAGAAAACCAUUCCAAAGAAAUUAUAACGGAAGCUAUCGAGAGCUGCAUGAACAAACAAGCAGAAAAUCUGGUGAAUUCACUGGAUGUCAUCAGUGGAAGGCUGUCGCAGUUGGAGUUAUACUGCUAUAAGCUUGAAAGGUCCAUUGGAGAACUGCGAAGCGAUGUAAUGGAUUAUCACAGCGAAGCAAAUCUAAACUUCCGUGGCCUUGACAAGAACGUCAAAGAGGUUCAGAAAUGUGUACAAGUUCUGCAGGAUAAGCAAGAGCUUGCUGAAACUCAGAACGAGCUAGCUAAACUUCAGAUUGUAUAUGAAGAUCCUGCACAAAAGAGUGAAGGUACUGCCCCAUCAGUUUUCAUGGCCAGGGAAAAUGAUGGCAGUUUCCCAGGUGCAAAGCAUGAGCUUGCCCUUGUCCCGCUGCACCAAGUAAAUCAGUCUCCUGCUAUGCAAUUCCAAAGUUGCAACGGGCUUAUUCUACAGCAACUUGUGCCUGUCUCUUUGAGCACCCAACAAGACCAGCAACACUUGAACCAGUCUACUGUUUACCGCGCGCAAAAUCAAUGCCAACCUGAGCGCAGGCAGGCCCAAACAUUUCAACCUGCACCGCAGUCUAUGCAACCGCAGGCCCAGAACCCCCAGCCACAGACUGUAGUUGAGGUACCUCCGAUAACUAGUCAGGCACCAGAGUUCUACAUCCAAGCUCAGCACCAUUGGCAACAUCAGACUGUCCAGGAUGUUCACUCGCAGGCAAGGCAACCACAACAACAACCACAGCCACAGGUGGCACAACAGCAGCAGUACCACAACAUGCAGCAAGUUCCAGCUCAGAUGGUUCAACUGCAAACAUCUUCUCCGCAGGCCCAAAGUGCACCUCAUGUCGCCCUGUUCUAUCCUCCUUACGGAUCCCAACAGCCCGCAUGUGGUAACACCGAGGCACUUUCUAGAGGCAUGGUUGUGCAGCCUGCCUAUUCUACGAUCUCUUCUUCCCAGCGAAAGCACCAUGAAGCUGCUCCUGUUUACGUGCAAAGCAGCGCCAUUGCUGUUCCUAUUGCAGAACAUCACAUCCAGCACCAGCAGACCCAGCAGUUCCAUUCGCCUGGCAAUGGCUCAUUUGCACCUCAGCAAUGCAAGGUUGGUCCCUAUUCAGUCCAGGGUGGUGCCCAGGCCUACAACACCGUAUAUGGGAGCCCUCCCAACAGUGCUGCCACUUUUGUUGCUGUCCUUCCUCAGCAAGCACAGCAGGCCAGUGCUCCGAUGAUGCUCCAUCAUCUAGGACCCCAGCCCGUGCAGAAUCACCCUGCAGACAUGGCUGACAAGGCUGCUCGAAUGGGUUACUUGAACGAUCAUGCUGAGAACAUGCCGCGCCGAAUGGUGGCUGCAGGCCAGCCUGUAGAGUACAACACCUUCCAUGAUGGGCUGAGCUCUGUUGGCAAUGCGGCUUGGUCUGGCUAG